Molecule: long non-coding RNA, 597 nt
Organism: Ictalurus punctatus (channel catfish)
Lineage: Eukaryota; Metazoa; Chordata; Actinopteri; Siluriformes; Ictaluridae
Source: Ensembl
UUUUACCGGGAAGAGAAAUGCGGGUGCAGUUUGUCUGGUUCUGUGGCUGCUGGCGCAUGUUGAUGAUGUCAGCGGCCGACCUACAGGUGUACGCAGAGACGUAGACCGAUUAGUGACUACACCAGCGAGAGUUCAGAGGAAAGACCAAGACUUUGGGCCUGUUCGAGGAUCAGAGAGAGUACCGAAUACAGGUGAUAGAGGUUCUGCACAGAAACAAAAUGGAGGGUUGAAGGGAUUUUUGAGCAAGACGGUUCGACAUUUCAAACUCCACGCUCCUCCUGCUACAGUAUACGCUCUCCCUGUCUCCCUCAUCGCCAUGGCGCUCCUCUGCUGCGUCACGUGUGCUAUCGACCGGCCAGUUCCGUUAGAAGGAGGUUUCUAGGAAGCCAAUAAAUUUGACAACAAACAGCAAACAUCGUCAUGUGUCACGCUGUUCAUUCAUAAAUGUGUAAAAGAUCUACUUAAAAAUAGCAAAAAAUAAUCCUGCUUCAUUAAAAAUGCUAACGAAACACUGGCAGUCUCUCUCUCUCUCAAUCUCGAUGGACGGACAGAUGGAUGGAUAGAUAGAUAAAUGGAUAUAUGGAUGGAUGAAAAAAA